RNAcentral lists this transfer RNA (72 nucleotides) under Pangasianodon gigas (Mekong giant catfish). RNAcentral describes it as "tRNA-Glu". It matches the Rfam family "tRNA". From Rfam's summary of the family: Transfer RNA (tRNA) molecules are approximately 80 nucleotides in length. Their secondary structure includes four short double-helical elements and three loops (D, anti-codon, and T loops). Further hydrogen bonds mediate the characteristic L-shaped molecular structure. tRNAs have two regions of fundamental functional importance: the anti-codon, which is responsible for specific mRNA codon recognition, and the 3' end, to which the tRNAs corresponding amino acid is attached (by aminoacyl-tRNA synthetases). tRNAs cope with the degeneracy of the genetic code in two manners: having more than one tRNA (with a specific anti-codon) for a particular amino acid; and 'wobble' base-pairing, i.e. permitting non-standard base-pairing at the 3rd anti-codon position. The record is from RNAcentral. Lineage: Eukaryota; Metazoa; Chordata; Actinopteri; Siluriformes; Pangasiidae.
UCCCUGGAGGGCUAGCGGUUAGGCCACAGCGCUCUCACCUCUGCAGCCCAGGUUCGAUUCCCAGCCAGGGAA